This 438-nucleotide long non-coding RNA is filed under the name Nicotiana benthamiana. RNAcentral describes it as "long non-coding RNA (NBEN_LNC021291)". Lineage: Eukaryota; Viridiplantae; Streptophyta; Magnoliopsida; Solanales; Solanaceae. The record is from RNAcentral.
GAGGUUUUCAUAUGAUCCAUGAGAGUUAUCCACAUCAAGCAUCUUCAUCAACCCAUGGAGGUCAGACGUAUCAUGGGGUGGAUGGUGGCCUCGUUGAUCUCACAAUGGGCAGCGGGAGAGGGCCAUUCAAACGUAAGAGUCCUGGUAUACCUGCAGGUGGCGAAAGUGGUAGUACGAGCAGAUACUUCGAUGCUGGCAGUUCAUCUGAUAUCCCUUCUGACUCUUGGCAGAUGGUGGCCUCGUUGACCUCACAAUGGGCAGCGGGAGAGGGCCAUACAAACGUAAGAGUCCUGGUAUACCUGCAGGUGGCGAAAGUGGUAGUACGAGCAGAUACUUCGAUGCUGGCAGCUCAUCUGAUAUCCCUUCUGACUCUUGGCAUGAGAAACAAAAUCCAGAUUCUCAUUACACGUCUUGGGGUUUACAUCCUAGUUACAGAGG